GCAUGAGUUAACAGCCCUCUGUAAUCCAAAUUUGAAAAAUGAUCAAAUGAUGAGUGCAUAAGUAAAAUGGCCUCACUUGGUGUAACUGGCAUCUUUACCAAGACGUCAUGUCUGGAAGCCGCUACCUGAAUACACCUAAGGAUAAGAAAUUAUCCUCUGUAUUCUCUUUCAUUUAUUUAAUAAACUAAAAUAGUGCUUGCUAUGAAUGGGCUUUCUAUUUUAUAAAUACUAGUUCAUUUAAUCUUCAUAACAAUCCUCUGAGUUAAGUACUACUAUCAUUGUAUUUUACAGAGGAGGAAAUCGAAGUCCAAAGAAGUUAAAUUUUUGCCCCAGGUCAUUUAGCUAGUGAGUGGUGAAUCUGGAUUCAAACCCAGGCAAUCUCAUUCCCGAAUCCAUGUUCCGUAGGUGAGGCGAAAAGAGCAGAUCUCACGGAAAGCAAACAUCAAGGAAACAGAUAUGCUUUAAAAAAUAAAUUACUGCUUCGGAAUUAGUUUACUUUCAUCUCUUUUCUUUACCAGGAAGGAAAGUAUCAUCCUCAGUGAUGAGUGUUAAGUACUACUAUACUUGUGGCUAGCAUUGAUUGCACUACUGUGUAGCAAGAAUUGUGCUGUUUUCACCAUGCAUUUCUUUGCAUAACUGUACUACAACUGCCGAGUUAUUUAUCUUUAUCCCCAUUUUGCACAUUGUGAAACUGAGGCUCAGAAACAGAAAAUAAUUAUCCCAAAGUCACACAGGAAGUAUAAAGAAUCAGGGUUGGAGCCAGAUUUGCCUGUUUUUGGAGCCCAUGCCACACACACACAAACCCUUAAAGAAAUCGAUGAAGAACUGGCAGUCCUGUGCUUUCACAUAUAGUCAAUAUAUUUGUAAAAAAUGAGGCUAAGUGUUGGAGAGGGGCCAUUGGUCUCUACAGGGGGAACCAACUGGAAUGGUGGCCCCAUGAGACCUAAGCUCCACUCCCCUGACCAGCAAGUGUUAGGUAUAUAUAUAUAUAGUCUGGUGUCUGCAGUGGAAGAGGUGGGGUCACCACCUGCAUCCAUUUCAUUUCACUCAUUCAUUGAUCCAUUCAUUCGAUGUUUUUGGAGCAUUUGCCAUGCUCUGUGCAAGGUAUCGGACACCAGGAGCUCUCUGUAGCUUUCUUUGGAAAAUUAAAGAGGCCAAUGCAAAGUAAAAGGCUUCAUAUUGCUUGCCCAUUGUUAAGUGCUCAGUAAAUCUACCAAUCCUAAUUCCAAAUGACACAUGUUCUAGAUCCCAAGUAUUAGACACCAACUGGGACUGCAGGAUGCACUCACAGCAGCUCCUCCAGGACGGAUGCUAUAAUCAUGUCCAUUUCACAGAAAUUUGGAGGAUCAGCCUGGAUGCUUAUUUUUGGAAGAAGCUGCUGGAGUGACUCCCAUGGUUGAGAAACACUGCCCCAAAUGACUGAGAAACUGUAUUGUAGUGGGGAGGGGGCAGAGCCCUCCCAGAACAAAGGGAAGGCAGCAUGCAACACCAGCAUCUGUGUGUGCCAGUGAGGUUCGACAACAAGAUAGCAUAACCUGCGUCCAUGAGCGCCGGCCUAUCUGUAACUGUCCACUCAGAAAUUAUAGAACACCUUAUAAGGGGGACAAAGGAAUCUAGAUGUGGCAGGAAACCUAACGGGGUAUAUAAGGCGACGCCCUGCUGCAUUUGGGACUCAGCCUUUGGAGAUGAAUCUGCUGAGCCAGUGCCGGCACAAAUAAACACUGCUUCCUGGCAAAAAAAAGGCCUCCGUGUCCUGUCUCCCUGUAUGUAAAUUGUAAAUCCUGCAACAGUACCUCAAGCCUAUUUAAAGAUUCUUAACUGCAAUAUGACAUCUCUGAGUCUAACUAAUUAUUUGCAAUGAAAAUACAUUGGUCCCACCGAUAGAAGCAACCCUGAGUAGUUAUGCUGCGAGCCACACG
This 1919-nucleotide long non-coding RNA is filed under the name Sus scrofa (pig). The record is from RNAcentral. Lineage: Eukaryota; Metazoa; Chordata; Mammalia; Artiodactyla; Suidae.